This is a transfer RNA of Cavia porcellus (domestic guinea pig), 57 nucleotides long. It matches the Rfam family "tRNA", at positions 9 to 63 of the family's 71-position model. From Rfam's summary of the family: Transfer RNA (tRNA) molecules are approximately 80 nucleotides in length. Their secondary structure includes four short double-helical elements and three loops (D, anti-codon, and T loops). Lineage: Eukaryota; Metazoa; Chordata; Mammalia; Rodentia; Caviidae. The record is from Rfam.
AGCUCAGUGGCACAGCACGUGCCUGACAAGCAUGAGGUUGUGAGUUCAAUUCCUCAU